Propithecus coquereli (Coquerel's sifaka) is the source of this 474-nucleotide RNA transcript. It is a transcript of the gene named 60S ribosomal protein L14 pseudogene, with no coding region annotated. NCBI's taxonomy places the organism in Eukaryota, Metazoa, Chordata, Mammalia, Primates, Indriidae. The record is from RefSeq and is a predicted model, not a curated record. The transcript has 2 exons.
AGCUUCUCGCCGAACGCCGCCGCCAUGGUGUUCAGGCGCUUCGUGGAGGUUGGCCAAGUGGCCUACGUCUCCUUUGGGCCUCAUGCCGGAAAGCUGGUCGCGAUUGUAGAUGUUAUUGAUCAGAACAGGGCUUUGGUUGAUGGACCUUGCACUCAGGUAAGAAGACAGGCUAUGCCUUUCAAAUGCAUGCAGCUCACUGACUUCAUCCUCAGGUUCCCACACAGUGCCCGCCAGAAGUAUGUCCGACAAGCCUGGCAGAAGGCAGAUAUAAAUACAAAAUGGGCAGCCACAAGAUGGGCCAAGAAGAUUGAAGCCAGAGAAAGAAAAGCUAAGAUGACGGACUUUGAUCGUUUUAAAGUAAUGAAGGCAAAGAAAAUGAGGAACAGAAUAAUCAAGAAUGAAGUUAAGAAGCUUCAAAAGGCAGCUCUCCUAAAAGCUUCUCGUUUAAACAACAGCUCCAGGGUGGUCUUCUAA